This 468-nucleotide ribosomal RNA is filed under the name uncultured bacterium. Its description in RNAcentral is "partial 16S ribosomal RNA". It matches the Rfam family "Bacterial small subunit ribosomal RNA", at positions 28 to 507 of the family's 1533-position model. The record is from RNAcentral.
GACGAACGCUGGCGGCGUGCUUAACACAUGCAAGUCGAACGGAAAGGCCCUGCUUUUGUGGGGUGCUCGAGUGGCGAACGGGUGAGUAACACGUGAGUAACCUGCCCUUGACUUUGGGAUAACUUCAGGAAACUGGGGCUCAUACCGGAUAGGAGCUCCUGCUGCAUGGUGGUGAUUGGAAAGUUUCGGCGGUUGGGGAUGGACUCGCGGCUUAUCAGCUUGUUGGUGGAGUAGUGGCUUACCAAGGCUUUGACGGGUAGCCGGCCUGAGAGGGUGGACGGCCACAUUGGGACUGAGAUACGCCCCAGACGCCUACGGGAGGCAGCAGUGGGGAAUAUUGCACAAUGGGCGGAAGCCUGAUGCAGCAACGCCGCGUGCGGGAUGACGGCCUUUGGGUUGUAAACCGCUGUCGCCUGUGACGAAGCGUGAGUGACGGUAAUGGGUAAAGAAGCACCGGCUAACUACGUG